AAUAGAUACCCCGGUAGUCCAUGCCGUAAACGUUGGGCACUAGGUGUGGGACCCAUUCCACGGGUUCCGUGCCGCAGCUAACGCAUUAAGUGCCCCGCCUGGGGAGUACGGCCGCAAGGCUAAAAACUCAAAGAAAAUUGACGGGGGCCCGCACAAGCGGCGGAGCAUGCGGAUUAAUUCGAUGCAACGCGAAGAACCUUACCAAGGCUUGACAUACACCGGAAAAGUGCAGAGAUGUGCUCCCCGUAAGGUCGGUGUACAGGUGGUGCAUGGUUGUCGUCAGCUCGUGUCGUGAGAUGUUGGGUUAAGUCCCGCAACGAGCGCAACCCUCGUCCCAUGUUGCCAGCGGGUUAUGCCGGGGACUCAUGGGAGACUGGCCGGGGUCAACUCGGAGGAAGGUGGGGAUGACGUCAAAUCAUCAUGCCCCUUAUGUCUUGGGCUUCACGCAUGCUACAAUGGCCGGUACAAAGGGCUGCGAUACCGUAAGGUGAGCGAAUCCCAAAAAGCCGGUCUCAGUUCGGAUUGGGGUCUGCAACUCGACCCCAUGUAAC
RNAcentral lists this ribosomal RNA (551 nucleotides) under uncultured bacterium. RNAcentral describes it as "bacterial SSU rRNA". It matches the Rfam family "Bacterial small subunit ribosomal RNA", at positions 777 to 1326 of the family's 1533-position model. The record is from RNAcentral.